GGAUGUUAGAGCAAUCUGACAGUGACAUCUGUCACUCCAUCUAUGCCAGAUUUGAUAUGAGGGAUUUGGCUGGUAAAGUGUCCAGUGAUUCCCUCGCUGUUCUAUAUUUGUCAUCCUGUCAUAAGGAUUGGCUGCAUCUUCAGGACAUCACCCAAGUCAAAGAGGGGAAUACUCGCAGGUAGAAGAGGACCACAGUGCAGUCCAAGCCACAGAAUUAGUUGAUCACUCCAGCUAGGAUCUGAAAACAGAUCCACAAGGUUCAUAUGGAAAUGGCAAUUUCAGUUUUACUUUUUUGUUUGUAAAACAUUACACAUAUUUUUAAUGUAGUAAAAUUGUUCAGUUGAACAUAAAUAAAUUU
This 358-nucleotide small nuclear RNA is filed under the name Theropithecus gelada (gelada). RNAcentral describes it as "7SK RNA (ENSTGEG00000018525.1)". It matches the Rfam family "7SK RNA". From Rfam's summary of the family: 7SK was discovered as an abundant small nuclear RNA in the mid-70s but a possible function has only recently been suggested. Two independent studies have found that 7SK RNA binds the CDK9/cyclin T complex (known as elongation factor P-TEFb). P-TEFb activates transcription by phosphorylating the C-terminal domain of RNA polymerase II. Lineage: Eukaryota; Metazoa; Chordata; Mammalia; Primates; Cercopithecidae. The record is from RNAcentral.